GUUCCCAUGCCAUCCAUUCCUA
This 22-nucleotide microRNA is filed under the name Vitis vinifera (wine grape). RNAcentral describes it as "vvi-miR3633b-3p". Lineage: Eukaryota; Viridiplantae; Streptophyta; Magnoliopsida; Vitales; Vitaceae. The record is from miRBase by way of RNAcentral.